AUUGAACGCUGGCGGCAGGCCUAACACAUGCAAGUCGAGCGAGCGGCGGACGGGUGAGUAAUGUCUGGGAAACUGCCUGUUGGAGGGGGAUAACUAUUGGAAACGGUAGCUAAUACCGCACACCAUCAGAUGUGCCCAGAUGGGAUUAGCUAGUUGGUGGGGUAAAGGCCGACCACGGCGACGAUCCGUAGCUGGUCUGAGAGGGUGAUCAGUCAAACUGGAACUGAGACACGGUCCAGACUCCUACGGGAGGCAGCAGUGGGGAAUAUUGGACAAUGGGCGAAAGCCUGAUGCGGCCAUGCCGCGUGUGUGAAGAAGGUCUUCGGAUUGUAAAGCACUUUAAGGUGGGAGGCGUUACCAACAGAAUAAGCACCGGCUAACUUCGUGCCAGCAGCCGCGGUAAUAC
RNAcentral lists this ribosomal RNA (406 nucleotides) under uncultured bacterium. RNAcentral's name for it is "partial 16S ribosomal RNA". It matches the Rfam family "Bacterial small subunit ribosomal RNA", at positions 30 to 526 of the family's 1533-position model. The record is from RNAcentral.